RNAcentral lists this ribosomal RNA (324 nucleotides) under uncultured eukaryote. RNAcentral describes it as "partial 18S ribosomal RNA". It matches the Rfam family "Eukaryotic small subunit ribosomal RNA", at positions 1470 to 1796 of the family's 1831-position model. The record is from RNAcentral.
CCCUUAGACGUUCUGGGCCGCACGCGCGCUACACUGGUCGAUGCAACGAGUUUCUUUCCUUGGCCGACAGGCCUGGGCAAUCUUUGAACAUCGAUCGUGAUCGGGAUAGAUUCUUGUAAUUUUUGAUCUUAAACGAGGAAUUCCUAGUAAACGCAAGUCAUCAGCUUGCAUUGAUUACGUCCCUGCCCUUUGUACACACCGCCCGUCGCACCUACCGAUUGAAUGGUCCGGUGAAAUCUCCGGACUGGCGUGAGUCGGAGCAAUCUGACAAACGCCGGAAAGUUGAUUAAACCUUACCAUUUAGAGGAAGGUGAAGUCGUAACA